Non-coding RNA from Acanthosepion pharaonis, 115 nucleotides. The record is from the annotation of a GenBank genome assembly. NCBI's taxonomy places the organism in Eukaryota, Metazoa, Mollusca, Cephalopoda, Sepiida, Sepiidae.
UUACGGUCAAAUCACGCUGAAAACACCGGUUCUCGUUCGAUCACCGAAGUUAAGCAUCGUAGAGCCAGGUCAGUACUUAGAUGGGGGACCGCUUGGGAACACCUUUUACUGUAAG